GAAGAAGAAGAAGAAGGAGGAGAAGAAGAAGAGGAGCUUGCUUGAGGGAGCUUGGAGCUCAACCCCCCUUUCUCUCCUUUCCACCCUUGCUUGGCUUGGAGCUUGCUUGUAGAGCUUGGUGGUGGACCAAUCUUCAACCCUAGAAGAUUUGGAGCUUGUUUGGAGGCAUCUUGGGAGGUUAGUACUUGGAUUCUACCCUUUGAUCCUUGAUUUGGUAGGUUUUACCAUAUGGAACCCUAGAAUGGAUAUUAGGGUUGAUUUUUGGGGCUUUUUGAUCUAGGGCUUUUGAGGCUAGAUUGAUUGGAUUAGAACCUUCCUUGGGCUUGGAUUGGAAGGGAUUUAGCUCUCUUUUGGAGCUUGAGAGAGAUUUCCUACACAUUAGGUGAGUUUUAGCCCUUUUGCCAAGUUUGUUAAAGUUUGAUCUUAUAGUUGAUCGUAAUGCCCGUGUAUCU
RNAcentral lists this long non-coding RNA (452 nucleotides) under Ananas comosus (pineapple). Its description in RNAcentral is "long non-coding RNA (ACOM_LNC039609)". Lineage: Eukaryota; Viridiplantae; Streptophyta; Magnoliopsida; Poales; Bromeliaceae. The record is from RNAcentral.